Molecule: ribosomal RNA, 568 nt
Filed under: Bacillus subtilis
Lineage: Bacteria; Bacillati; Bacillota; Bacilli; Caryophanales; Bacillaceae
Description: bacterial SSU rRNA
Rfam family: Bacterial small subunit ribosomal RNA
Source: RNAcentral
GUCGAGCGGACAGAUGGGAGCUUGCUCCCUGAUGUUAGCGGCGGACGGGUGAGUAACACGUGGGUAACCUGCCUGUAAGACUGGGAUAACUCCGGGAAACCGGGGCUAAUACCGGAUGGUUGUUUGAACCGCAUGGUUCAGACAUAAAAGGUGGCUUCGGCUACCACUUACAGAUGGACCCGCGGCGCAUUAGCUAGUUGGUGAGGUAACGGCUCACCAAGGCAACGAUGCGUAGCCGACCUGAGAGGGUGAUCGGCCACACUGGGACUGAGACACGGCCCAGACUCCUACGGGAGGCAGCAGUAGGGAAUCUUCCGCAAUGGACGAAAGUCUGACGGAGCAACGCCGCGUGAGUGAUGAAGGUUUUCGGAUCGUAAAGCUCUGUUGUUAGGGAAGAACAAGUGCCGUUCAAAUAGGGCGGCACCUUGACGGUACCUAACCAGAAAGCCACGGCUAACUACGUGCCAGCAGCCGCGGUAAUACGUAGGUGGCCAGCGUUGUCCGGAAUUAUUGGGCGUAAAGGGCUCGCAGGCGGUUUCUUAAGUCUGAUGUGAAAGCCCCCGGCUCA